Molecule: long non-coding RNA, 4514 nt
Organism: Amphiprion ocellaris (clown anemonefish)
Lineage: Eukaryota; Metazoa; Chordata; Actinopteri; Pomacentridae
Exons: 5
Source: RefSeq, a predicted model, not a curated record
UUCUCAGAGGGCGGAGCCAAAGAGCAGUGAUUGGUCAGACCAUAGAAAUAUAUGGAAGACAGCGCGCUAGCGUAUCUAGUCUUCUAUAUAUCUGUGGUCAGCACGUCUGGUAGCAUCUCUGGCUGCUGUUGACCUUGUUUUUGGAGUAAAACACGGUGGAAGCUGAAUUAGUGAGGAUGACUCCUGCUCCUGUCAUCUCUAAGCUCCUCACACAUCUUUACCUGCACAUGAGGAAAAUCACUCCUGUAGAAUGCAGAUGUUCAGAGGGAGAUGAUGCCACAUCUGGUCCAGCUGAUGGAAGGUCUUGAAGUUCUCUGACUGGCCUCGACUGAAGAUGGUCGUCUCACUGGAUUUAAGGUUCAGAUGCUCAGUAACAAACUCCACCAAUGUGCCAACAGGGAAGCUUUAGGUUUAUUAAAUGUUGCUAUGAAGGUAUCGCUGUUUUUCUUUGUGAAUGCAAUGUGCUCCAACUGAAACUUGAAUUAGAACUUAGAAGUAAAUCCUUCCAUCUGAAAGGAUUUAGUUGCAUUAAUAACCUCAUAACAUUCUAAUUUUUAUUCCAGUCUUGGUUGGAAAUAGAAUCUCUGUAUUGAUUCAGGUAAAAACUGAACUUCACAGCAUGUUGGAGCAAAACAACCAGAUGAAAACUGUGAUGGUGUUGGAUUGUCAGACUGUAAUGUUGCAGCUCAAAGCAGCUUUUCUAGCUCAGUUCAUUCUGACAUUCAGCUAUGAAUCAACACAGCAGAUGGUGAUCCAUGCUGUGGAAGUCUCACAUCUCCUGAUUUAAUGGAGCUGCUUUGCACUUUUUACACUGUUUAUUCACCAACACUUUAUUUAAUAAAAGUCCCAUCUAGUUUUUAUGAGGAAUGUGAUGUUUUAAUUUCUCUGUGAAUAACUGCAGUCUAAUGCAACAGCUGGAGUUGUAACAUCUGUCCUGAUAUUGAUCAUGAAGUAUUGAUCAGAAUACUUAUGGUUAGCAGUCAUCUCUGAAGUUUUACAUUAAAAUCUUUACCUGUGUUGUGAACUUUGGUAAGAAGCAGAAACUUUAGCGUUGCCAUGGAUACAUGAGUGUUAAAUUCUGUCCAUGUUUCCAUUUUGGGAAAUGCAGUCCAGCAGAUGAGUUUGUUUUUACUGCCAGCUACCAUUCAGUCUGAGAUAUUAAGAAUAAAUAAAUGUGCAUAAUGUGGAAAUGAACAGAUUUUAUUUUUAUUUAUUCCUACAAGUGCUGCAGGUAAAGUUCCAGAAUGUGGAGAAAUUUAGUCUCACAAUCACAGACAAUAAAUAUUAUCUGAAAGUCAGGUUAUUGUUGUUUAUCAGCACAAUACAAAAAGAUUAAUGUUAGAAAUAUUCCAGUUAAGACUCUAGAAUAUCAUGAUUUAUGUAAAUUUACCUCAAUAAUAUGAAUGUUCAGGUUAAGAUUGUACAGUGAUAUUUAUUAUGUAAGUUUAGCUGAUUAAAGUUUAUGACUCUGCACUACAAUAUUAUUUAUUAUUUAAAUUUGCAUCAUUAUUAUAAUAUUUAGGGUCAGACCCUACAGGAUUGAGAUUAAGAAAUCAAAUAUUCUAUAAAAUGUAAAUACACUGAACUCAUUUGGAUAUAUUUAAGUGAGACUCUACAAUAUUAUUUGACACAAAUCUAUCUAAAUCAAAAUUUUAAUCAUUUUUACUCCAAACAUUUACUGGACUGAUUUAAAUAUUAAAAUCACUCCUUUCUAAUCCUCUGCUGUACGUUCAAACCUGAGGCCUUAAAUAGAAACACACAAGUAUCUGAUUGAAGGAACUUCUGCAGAGUCCUGGUUCCAGAACAUGAUGAUAGAAUUAUAGACAAACUUUAACAAAAGCUGCCUGAGAGUUUACAGGUUUUUAUGUUGGAUUUCUUCAGUAAUUUAAUGAGAGUUAUCAGCAAAAAUCAAGUGUUCAUUUGAUGAACUUCAUUUCCUAAAACAUCCAGAAUUGGAGCUCAUAUCUUUGGCAGCUGUAAAGUUUCUGCUCCUUCAAAGUUCACAACACAAUGAAUGAAUUCCUAAAACACUCUCAAUGCUGGAGAGCGUUUGUGAUGCUGAAGCAGUGAUCAGUUUUUCUGUUUCUUCUCUGGAGAUGCACAAUGAGGGACGUCUGCAGAGACUGAGAAAGAGUCUCACCACAUCCUGACAUGAGGAAAAAGACUUUAUUGAAGACUACAAUGAGAAAAACUAUCAGACAGCAGACGGCUGCAUUCAAGUCUGUAGCUGCUGAAUUCAUGGAUGAAUCAUCUGGCACUAGAGAGGAAGACCAUCAAACAUCCACAGUCAGCUGAUGGAGGUCCAAGAGUCUCACCCAACAAACAACCUACAGAGUGAAGACCUCGAAUCUGAUUGGACGGCCUCCUAUUCAGCCACAUUUUAGGCUGUUAGAUUGUUCCAGAUAAGACAAGUACAAGAUUCUUCAGAGCCGUUCUACCACGAGCCUGACAGGAAGAACUCCAACAGCUACUGAAUGUUCCUGUGGUUCCCUCAAGGCUACAGGAGGAGUCCUACGAGGACGAGCCGGUCCACCUGAUGGUGGCCAGUCGCUGCGGUUCAAAGCCAACACCGACUACGUGGACUUCUACUGGACCACACGGAGGCCUUCAAACCGGACCAACAAGUUCAGCGACUCCCCGACUCGUGGGUCUGAGGACGCCGCCGAGCCUCGGUCCAGCCGGCCUCCUGUCUGUGGGUGUUUGAGUGCUGAGAGGUUUGUGGAUGCAUGUGAACGUUCUGUGUUGAAACAGCAGCUUUGGACUCAGUAACGCCAGGAAAAACCAAGAGCUCCUUUAUUUGUGACUUCCACUAAAAAAAACUGAUGAAAAUAAGUUUGCCAGGGUUCUGACUGAUAACAGAUUAUUAAAUAAUGAAAAUAACAGUUUAAAUAUUCCUUUAAACAAUCCUUUUAGGUCUACAUUUCCUUUACACUGACUUCUUGGUAUAUGUACAAGUAUUUUGGGUGGAAUAUACCAUUAAGCCCAAUGUUCAAGGGUUCUUCUGGGAAUAUACCAUUAAACCAACCUUUUAGGUAAAUGUUCCAGGAUGUUGGGUAGAAUAUACCAUCAGAUCAACCUUUUAGGUCUACAUUGGAAGAUUUUAGAGUAGAAUAUUACUCCAAACCAUCCUUUAGGUCUACAUUUAAGGUGGAAUACUCCUUUACACCAAGAUUUUUUGGUCUACAUUGAAGGAUUUUAGGUGGAAUAUUCCUUUGAACGAACUUUUUAAGUUUAUGUUCAAGGAUGUUGGGUGGAAUAUACCAUCAGACCAACCUCCAAGGUCUACAGUAGUGAAUUUUAGGUGGAAUAUACCAUUAAACUCACCUUUUAGGUCUACAUUGGAGGAUUUUAGGUGGAAUUUUCUUCCAAACCGUCUUUUAGUCUACAUUUAAGGAUGUUUAGGAUGGUAUAUUCUUCCAAACCAACUUCUCAGAUCUACAUUUCAGGUGGAAUAUUCCUCCAUACUAACUUUUUUGGUCUACAUUGAAGGAUUUUUUCUAAACCACCCUUUCGGGUCUAUAUUUGAGGUUUUAGGUGGAAUAUUCCUUUUAACCAGCCCCUCAGGUCUCUUUGAGGAUUUUGGAUGGAAUACUCGGUUAAACCAACAUUUUAGGUGCAUGUCCAAGGAUUUUUGGUGGAAUGUUCCUUUAAGGUGGAUGUGUGAGGACCUUGUAGGUGGAAUACUUCCUGAAACCAACCUUUUAGGUCAACAUUCAAAGAUUUAAGGUGGAAUAUUCCUUUAAACCAACCUAAAUUUCAUGUUUUGAUCAUUAUCAAGUGAGAAACCUCAAUCCAGACUCCUCAUAAUGACGUUUGAGAUUUAUGCUGCUGUUAUUUGUUUAGUCCAGACUAAAUGACAGAAAUCCACAACUGUAAUUUUAUUUCAGGACUCGGUUAUUAAAUGUCAAAACAAUCCAUGUGACUCUAAAAACUCAACAGCUUUACAAACUCUAAGAUUAAACUCUCCACAAGGAUCCAAAAUAAGUUGGACUUCUACAUGAGAGCUUUAAUUAUUCUUCAUCUACUUCCUGAAAAGUUUGGUCAAUAAAAAAGACAAAAACUAAUAUUUUCAGCUGAACUAAAGACAGACUUUGUGAUUUUUCUGCUCACAUGUUGUGUUGUUGUAAACUUACUCUUUCAAAUAAAUAGCCUCCUAACCCCCUGGAAACCAGCGUUUGUCCUGUUUUUGUGUUGCUCCUCGGCGACCCUAGACAGCCGGGUCCUAAUGUUUUUUGAGCAACACACCAUACUAUGACGUUUUUACAAUGAUGGUUCUACUAUGGAACCAGUUUGACAUGUUCAGGUGUUCUUUGUGUGAAAACUCAGAGAUUUCAGGUAUCAGAAGGUGGUUUUCAACUUUCUUUGUUAACUUUCUGCUUCAACUUUAAACUAAAUUUCCUUGACUAAGCCAGCCCUCUGGACUUCCAGUAAGCUGUGUUCCUAUUGGCUGUCCAGGUGGCUGCUUGGUGUUAUCAGGAACACCUGAGCAGCUCAGUGUCUUCCUGCUUUAUUUG